AGCGAACGCUGGCGGCAGGCUUAACACAUGCAAGUCGAGCGGACCUUUCGGGGUCAGCGGCGGACGGGUGAGUAACGCGUGGGAACGUGCCUCCGGUUCGGAAUAACCCUGGGAAACUAGGGCUAAUACCGGAUACGCCCUUAUGGGGAAAGGUUUACUGCCGGAAGAUCGGCCCGCGUCUGAUUAGCUAGUUGGUGGGGUAACGGCCUACCAAGGCGACGCUCAGUAGCUGGUCUGAGAGGAUGAUCAGCCACACUGGGACUGAGACACGGCCCAGACUCCUACGGGAGGCAGCAGUGGGGAAUAUUGGACAAUGGGCGCAAGCCUGAUCCAGCCAUGCCGCGUGAGUGAUGAAGGCCGUAGGGUUGUAAAGCUCUUUUAUCCGGGACGAUAAUGACGGUACCGGAGGAAUAAGCCCCGGCUAACUUCGUG
RNAcentral lists this ribosomal RNA (432 nucleotides) under uncultured bacterium. Its description in RNAcentral is "partial 16S ribosomal RNA". It matches the Rfam family "Bacterial small subunit ribosomal RNA", at positions 29 to 507 of the family's 1533-position model. The record is from RNAcentral.